UACGGAGGGUGCAAGCGUUGCUCGGAAUUAUUGGGCGUAAAGGGUAGGUAGGUGGUCUUAUUUGUCUGGGGUGAAAUCCUUGGGCUUAACCUAAGAAGUGCCCCAGAAACGGUAAGACUAGAGUCCUGGAGAGGGUCGUGGAAUUCCCGGUGUAGCGGUGAAAUGCGUAGAGAUCGGGAGGAACACCAGUGGCGAAGGCGGCUCGCUGGGCCGGUCCUGACGCUGAGACGCGAAGGCGUGGGGAGCGAACGGG
RNAcentral lists this ribosomal RNA (253 nucleotides) under uncultured bacterium. Its description in RNAcentral is "partial 16S ribosomal RNA". It matches the Rfam family "Bacterial small subunit ribosomal RNA", at positions 524 to 776 of the family's 1533-position model. The record is from RNAcentral.